RNAcentral lists this long non-coding RNA (527 nucleotides) under Salvia miltiorrhiza (redroot sage). Its description in RNAcentral is "long non-coding RNA (SMIL_LNC003149)". The record is from RNAcentral. Lineage: Eukaryota; Viridiplantae; Streptophyta; Magnoliopsida; Lamiales; Lamiaceae.
GAAAACCUACACACACCAGCACACACAGUUACACACGCGCACAGGGCGCCGCUCCCUCUUGUCGGAGAAGAUGGACGCCGCCGCCAAUCACCUCGGUUCAUCGCCUUCACUCUGCUGCCACAGGACGAUCACCGCCGUCGUGCCCUAGCCACCUCUCUCUCUCUCUCUCUCAGACACACACACAUUGUGAAAAACAGCAGCAAGCCACCGCCCCCUCAACAAUUGAGAAAGAGGGUCGUCACCUAGGUUUGCUCUUCAAUUAGGGGUCCUUUGAAAAAGAUCAGGAUAUUUGUUAAAUAUUUUCUCAGUUUGGAUAUUACGCAUUUGUUUAUAAAUUGAUAGUUAUUCUAAAAUUUUAGAGACAUUAAACAUUAAUUUCAUGUUUUACAAGUGAGCCUUCAAAUUGAUGACUUGUAUUAGGGAAUUCUAGAAAGUUGCUCUAUCAAUGUUCGGUGCUUUGUAAUUCAUGGAAAAAUCUUGUAUAGUGAAAAUUGAUGAACUAAGAGAUUGAAGGUUUGAGCCUUUUU